UGUAGAAUCCUUGGUAUUCCAUUUUAGAUGUAAGGCAAGUCUUCAGGGGAUAUAUUCAUUGACCAUAAGACAUUUGGGGUCCUCAGCUAAGACUUUGCUUUUUAAAUUAUUUCCGGCAUGACUUCAGACACAGAAGAGAACUGCCUGGAGCUGAGGAGAGAGUAUUUAGUAAAGAAAGGGUUUGCUCCUGCCUCCCUUUCAGCCAUCUCAGCAACUUAAAGAGGAGGGCAACAUACUUUAAGAGUGCAUGCUGUGUCUUUACAGUCCACCACUGACGUAGGUGGAUGUGUGAGUAAGACUCAUUUUGUUGUUAAUUUAUCUUCUUGAUGCUCAAUAUCAGACUCCAUUUGCAUUGACUGAAUAACUGUGGAGUCGUUAUGAAGGCUGUACGAACUGCGUUACUACCCUUGGAAGUGAUUACUGCUGAAUUUUUGCCUCUUAAGCCUCCAAACAGGAUAUUGCAUUAUUAUAUGCAAUUCUCUUCCCUGAUGUACUGUCUGAGUAUUGGCCAAACCAUCAGUGUAUCACUGUGAUUCAUGCAGAACACUAAUCUCGAUGGAGCCAAAGGGUUACAGGUUUGCCUGUUGGAGACUUGCAGACAUUGGAAUUCUUUUAAACAUGAUUGGUUUCCAACAGACAGAUAUGGCUCUCAGACACAUGGAUAUCCAUCCAUAUGUGUGAUAGGUAGAACUACAGAACGAGCGUCAUGGAUGUUCAUCCUCGAAGUUGAAUUUUCAGAGCUGGAGGAAUAGUUCGGAGCUGAAGUUGGUCUUCCAACCUGGUUAUGAGAAUUACAGAGUAUAAUCCAAGCCUUAUAUGCGUCAUUUGCUUUGGAAAAUAAAAACCUGCUUUUGAAAAUAUUUGAAUAUGCAGAAAUGAGGAGUGUGGUACAUGCCAGUCAGUGAGGGCUUCCUCUUAGUUGCCGUGUUCAUUAGCCUGGGCCUGGUGCAAGGCACAGCAGCCAUUUGAAUAAGACAUGCACAAGCCAGGUGGUAGCAUUGGGUGUGUUGGGCUAGUGAGCAGCAGAUUUCUUUCUUACUUAGGUCAUGUUCUUAUCUUUUGCUUGUCCAUGUUUAUAUUGGAGUAGAGCUCAGAGGCCCCAGAACUGAAGAAAAUAACCACACUGCAAACAUUUACGAAGAAGUUGUUAUGACUGCUAAUGCUUCUUCCUGCUCCACUGCUACAAACUCUGCCAUAGUGCAGCAAAGAACUGAAUGGUUUCCAAAAGAAGUGUGUGAGGAAACAUGAGGAAAUGCUGGAGGGAAUGGAGAGGGGAAGGAGAGGAGGCUGGGAUUCCUGAGAAUGCAUCAGUACUUUAAGGAGUUGUUGAAUACAGCAUCUCACAUAUAUCUUGCUCAUCCUGCUGCCACUGCUAUUUCUGAAGUGACUGAUGCUGCAGGUUAAGCUGUAUGUGCUUGCUGGAUCCAUCCCCUCAGAUGAAGGAGUAUUUGGUCAGGCUUGUGUGGAGCUACUCAAUUUUACCCAGGAUGAAGAAAUCUUUUUAAUAUGCCAGAGCGUGGUAUAGAUAUAUAGGACUCUGGAUAGGCCACCUGUGAAGUCAGAACACAUUCAGAGGAAGACAGUGAGUAGAUUUUCCAGUGCACAGUCUGAUCAUCCUAAAUCCACUGAAGUCCUCAUUUAGGCUUAUAUUGCUCUUCUGUUCUUGCUCUUAGACAUGCCCAACUGAUGAUCCUGUCUUUGUGUAGAGACUGAUCUGACAUAUCGCAGGAUGUACUGGCUUUUGCACCAAAGAGAGAAUCCAGUUUCCAACUUCAGACUUUUCCAGAUUGACCCAUCGUGUUGUGUAGCUAGGAAAGAAGAUAGACUUCCACAACAAGUGUCUUAAUUUUCAACACAUAGAAACUUUUCAUGAAAACUUGGAAACUGCUCUGAAUCUGAGAUGGCAACCUGAAACCAGAAUGUUUCAUGUUAAACCAUAAAUCUCCCAAACUUCCACGUUGAUUUUGCAGUAUAACACUAAGCUUUCGUUUCAAAUCCUUCUGGAAGACUAGUAUAACUUCCUGUGUUGUUUUAGAGAAAAUAUAUUGCAUGAUCUGACUAGUUUUUACCACUACUAUAAAGGGGUGACACGAUCUGUAAGGCUUUCCUUUACUGUAAUUUUCUUUUUCAGCUGAAUUUGUUUUAAGAGGAGGAAACUGGGAUGGCCAAGGCCUGUAAACCAUUUAUUACCCAGUUUUAAAGGCUCAAGAAGAAUUUAAAGAUGUGUUUUGUGCUGGCUGUGUCCACGUGUAACAAUUUUAUCCCUGUGAAUUCUUGUUCAAGCUGUCUAGACCCCCUCUGUUGCCAUGGCUUUGUGAAGCCUAUCUUUGCAGUGCAACCUUUGG
Molecule: long non-coding RNA, 2345 nt
Organism: Corapipo altera (White-ruffed manakin)
Lineage: Eukaryota; Metazoa; Chordata; Aves; Passeriformes; Pipridae
Exons: 3
Source: RefSeq, a predicted model, not a curated record